This 447-nucleotide ribosomal RNA is filed under the name uncultured fungus. Its description in RNAcentral is "eukaryotic LSU rRNA". The stretch from base 101 to 245 matches the Rfam family "5.8S ribosomal RNA". The record is from RNAcentral. Lineage: Eukaryota; Fungi.
GAGUUGGUCGAGAGGGCUGACACAUUAGCACGAGGCCGCGAGGCCUUGAUGUUUACGCUUGCAUGUUUGACAGAGUUUAAAUUGUGACCUUUAAAAUGACAACUUUUAACAACGGAUCUCUUGGCUCUUGCAACGAUGAAGAACGCAGUAAAGUGCGAUAUGUAGUGCGAUUUGCAUGAAUCUGUGAGUCAUCUAAUCUUUGAACGCAACUUGCGCCUCUCUGAGGCAUGUCUGUUUGAGUGCCGCAUACUCUACUGCAGCAAUGCGACUUGAUCCGUGUCGGCGACGACUGGGUCUAAAUGUAGCCAGAUAAUGGUCUGUGAGGACUAGCCCGAGUGCUAAGCAUUCUUGGGUCUAGGCCCCGCCUGCCACAAUCUAUCUAUCUAAUUGGCCUCAAAUCAGGCAAGACUACCCGCUGAACUUAAGCAUAUCAAUAGGCGGAGGAAA